Molecule: long non-coding RNA, 402 nt
Organism: Fukomys damarensis (Damara mole-rat)
Lineage: Eukaryota; Metazoa; Chordata; Mammalia; Rodentia; Bathyergidae
Exons: 3
Source: RefSeq, a predicted model, not a curated record
ACCACUUCUGACAUCUAAACAAGCAUGACCUGUAAAUUUCACACAGGCAAGUUACCUAGUAGCUGAACAUGAAUUUCUUUGGGAGGAAAAAAAUGGCUAAUAGGAGAUCAACAGCUCAUUUAAAGGAUUCAUUCAGAAUACAUCAGAAAGAUACACCUACAACAAGAUCACUCAAGCCAGUCCUCUGACCUCAUGUGGAUAAACACCCGAAAACUGCAAUCCAGCUGCAAGGUAUCCAGGAACAUCACACAAGAUGAAGCAACCCAAACUUCCCUUUUCUUUCUCUAAGACACAGCACAGUCUCAAGAACUUUUACUAGUUUCAGACCAUAGUCAUUUUAAAACUAUUAUUAUAGAAAGAAGACUCAGCUCAUUACGGAGUCUACUUCCAUUAAACACAGGA